CCACGAUCUCGUGCCACGUGGGUGAGGGCAGGUAGUGGUCACGCGCUCCGGGAGAGAAGGAUUCACCAGAGUCAGCACAAGAGGAGUCGGGGCGUAAUCUAAAUUAUUACUUUAUAAUGUAGCCUAUGGAACUUGAAUGUAACGUACAGCAAAACAAUUGUUUUUUUUAAAAAUAUUUGAGGCGGUGUCAUUGAAAAAUGACUCAAGCCACUUGACAAGCACAUUCCGAAGACGCCUGCAGGGGGCCAAGGGCUCUGCUGGUGAGAGACUGACACGUGGCUCUUUUCGGUUGGUUGGAUGGUGGCCUCAAGGCAUGUUGGGAAUGAUGGCCGGGUGGAGCUAGCUGCGGCUGCGCGAGGGUUGCUGACGAUUUGGGGAAGUUGAAGCUGAAAAAGGAAGUGUUUGGAAUGUUGGUGUGUUGGCCGGAAGUUUAUGGAAGAGUGGACCGUUCGUGUUUUCGGGGCGGGGCGGAGUAAGACUAACGUUGUGGUUUGAGCCGCCUGUCCUGUAAGGAGCCAGCACUUUGCGUCCUUGAUUAUUAUACCGUUUCUCGGUCCUAGCACAGUUUACUGUGGUUGAUAGAUGGUUUAAUAUAGUUGAAGAAUUCUGCCCCGUGGAAGAAGCAAUUUUAAUAUGGAUUAGAGUGAGGUAAUACUUGCAUUUUGGGAGAAGAAAUCCGGAGUGGAAAUAUGUCCACUCAGUGAAAGACUUGACACUUACGGAAGAACAGCAAGACCAGUCAGUGCUCUGUAAGUGCAACUGCAGGUGGAUCAAGCCAUUAGAAAGGCCAAUAUUUCUGGCAUCCGCAGUACUUUGCUUUUGUGUUAGGGAACAAAAUGUACUCUGGAUGGGUAACUUUGUCCAUUAUCAAGAGUGGCUCAAUAACACCACUACUGACUGAGUUCAUGGAAUCCUAAAGGAUAUAUAUAUCUGCCGGACUGAGCUUAAGACAGGUGAAAAGGAACCAAUGCAAGGAAGAACACUAGUUUACUUUUUCCUCCUCAAUCUACCUGUCGAUGGUGCAUCUAUCUAUUGUAUUGGUAAGAAUCCUCACAGUCUUUUUGGAGAUGAAGCCGCCCCUCCACGUUGAGGACGAAGGUAUUGUGGUGUGUUUCUCUAUAUUCCUAAAUGAGAUAAAUCCAGAACAGAUAUAACCGCUCAAUCAUCCAUGAGGCAUUGUAGGCCAGUAACAACUGUAUGGUAUUCAACCACAAUCUGUACCUAAUGGCCCAACAUAUCCCUCAUUCUACCAUUACCAUCAAGCCAAGGGAACAAGUUCUGAUGAAAGGUCACUGACUUGCAAUGGUAACCCUGUUUCUCUCUCCACAGAUGCUGCUAGAUCUGCCGAGUAUUUCCAGCAUUUUCAUGAACCAACCCUGGCUCACUGAGGAGUGGCAGGAGCAGCACCAGGCAUACCUUAAAAUGAGCAUUACCAUUGCUGAGCUCCCACCAUCAGCAUCUUCUGAAGGCCACCAUUGACCAGAAACUUUACUGGACCAGCCACAAGAAUGAUUCAGAGACUGCAAGGUCUGGAGUGGUUAACUCACCUCCCUGAUUCCCCAAAGCUUGUCCAUCGUCUACAAGGCACUAGUCAGGAGUGUGAUGGAAUAAUCUCCGCUUGCUUGGACAGCACCUUCCAAACCUGCAACCUCUAGCACCAAGAUGAACAAGGGCA
Molecule: long non-coding RNA, 1675 nt
Organism: Carcharodon carcharias (great white shark)
Lineage: Eukaryota; Metazoa; Chordata; Chondrichthyes; Lamniformes; Lamnidae
Exons: 3
Source: RefSeq, a predicted model, not a curated record